GACGAACGCUGGCGGCGUGCUUAACACAUGCAAGUCGAACGGAAAGACCCUGCUUUUGUGGGGUGCUCGAGUGGCGAACGGGUGAGUAACACGUGAGUAACCUGCCCUUGACUUUGGGAUAACUUCAGGAAACUGGGGUAAUACCCGAAAAGGGCUCCCUGCUCAUGGGUGGGGGUGGGAAGGUUCGGCGGUUGGGGAUGGACUCGCGGCUUAUCAGCUUGUUGGUGGGGGAGUGGCUUACCAAGGCUUUGACGGGUAGCCGGCCUGAGAGGGUGACCGGCCACAUUGGGACUGAGAUACGGCCCAGACUCCUACGGGAGGCAGCAGUGGGGAAUAUUGCACAAUGGGCGGAAGCCUGAUGCAGCAACGCCGCGUGCGGGAUGACGGCCUUCGGGUUGUAAACCGCUUUCGCCUGUGACGAAGCGUGAGUGACGGUAAUGGGUAAAGAAGCACCGGCUAACUACGUG
This 467-nucleotide ribosomal RNA is filed under the name uncultured bacterium. RNAcentral's name for it is "partial 16S ribosomal RNA". It matches the Rfam family "Bacterial small subunit ribosomal RNA", at positions 28 to 507 of the family's 1533-position model. The record is from RNAcentral.